GAGCCAUUAGCUCAGCUGGGAGAGUAUCUGACUUUUAAUCAGAGGGUCAGAGGUUCGAAUCCUCUAUGGCUCA
Molecule: transfer RNA, 73 nt
Filed under: Staphylococcus aureus
Lineage: Bacteria; Bacillati; Bacillota; Bacilli; Caryophanales; Staphylococcaceae
Description: tRNA-Lys
Rfam family: tRNA
About the family: Transfer RNA (tRNA) molecules are approximately 80 nucleotides in length. Their secondary structure includes four short double-helical elements and three loops (D, anti-codon, and T loops).
Source: RNAcentral